RNAcentral lists this ribosomal RNA (415 nucleotides) under uncultured bacterium. RNAcentral's name for it is "partial 16S ribosomal RNA". It matches the Rfam family "Bacterial small subunit ribosomal RNA", at positions 355 to 762 of the family's 1533-position model. The record is from RNAcentral.
UGGGGAAUUUUGGACAAUGGGCGAAAGCCUGAUCCAGCAAUGCCGCGUGUGUGAAGAAGGCCUUCGGGUUGUAAAGCACUUUUGUCCGGAAAGAAAUCCUUGGCUCUAAUACAGUCGGGGGAUGACGGUACCGGAAGAAUAAGCACCGGCUAACUACGUGCCAGCAGCCGCGGUAAUACGUAGGGUGCAAGCGUUAAUCGGAAUUACUGGGCGUAAAGCGUGCGCAGGCGGUUUUGCUAAGACCGAUGUGAAAUCCCCGGGCUCAACCUGGGAACUGCAUUGGUGACUGGCAGGCUAGAGUAUGGCAGAGGGGGGUAGAAUUCCACGUGUAGCAGUGAAAUGCGUAGAGAUGUGGAGAAUACCGAUGGCGAAGGCAGCCCCCUGGGCCAAUACUGACGUUCAUGCACGAAAGCGU